This 73-nucleotide transfer RNA is filed under the name Lotharella oceanica. Its description in RNAcentral is "tRNA-Ala". It matches the Rfam family "tRNA". Rfam says of the family: Transfer RNA (tRNA) molecules are approximately 80 nucleotides in length. Their secondary structure includes four short double-helical elements and three loops (D, anti-codon, and T loops). Lineage: Eukaryota; Cercozoa; Chlorarachniophyceae. The record is from RNAcentral. RNAcentral also lists the same sequence under 2 other names.
GGGGGUAUAGCUCAAUUGGUAGAGCGCUGCCUUUGCAAGGCAGAUGUUAGGGGUUCGAGUCCCCUUAUCUCCA